UACGGAGGGGGCUAGCGUUGUUCGGAAUUACUGGGCGUAAAGCGCACGUAGGCGGCUUUGCAAGUCAGAGGUGAAAGCCCGGGGCUCAACCCCGGAAUUGCCUUUGAGACUGCAUCGCUAGAAUUGUGGAGAGGUAAGUGGAAUUCCGAGUGUAGAGGUGAAAUUCGUAGAUAUUCGGAAGAACACCAGUGGCGAAGGCGACUUACUGGACACAUAUUGACGCUGAGGUGGCGAAAAGCGUGGGGAGCAAACAGG
RNAcentral lists this ribosomal RNA (255 nucleotides) under uncultured bacterium. RNAcentral describes it as "partial 16S ribosomal RNA". It matches the Rfam family "Bacterial small subunit ribosomal RNA", at positions 524 to 776 of the family's 1533-position model. The record is from RNAcentral.